AGUGAACGCUGGCGGUAGGCCUAACACAUGCAAGUCGAACGGCAGCACAGUAAGAGCUUGCUCUUACGGGUGGCGAGUGGCGGACGGGUGAGGAAUACAUCGGAAUCUACUUUUUCGUGGGGGAUAACGUAGGGAAACUUACGCUAAUACCGCAUACGACCUACGGGUGAAAGCAGGGGAUCUUCGGACCUUGCGCGAUUGAAUGAGCCGAUGUCGGAUUAGCUAGUUGGCGGGGUAAAGGCCCACCAAGGCGACGAUCCGUAGCUGGUCUGAGAGGAUGAUCAGCCACACUGGAACUGAGCCACGGUCCAGACUCUUACGGGAGGCAGCAGUGCGGAAUAUUGGACAAUGGGCGCAAGCCUGAUCCAGCCAUACCGCGUGGGUGAAGAAGGCCUUCGGGUUGUAAAGCCCUUUUGUUGGGAAAGAAAAGCAGCAGGUUAAUACCCCGCUGUUCUGACGGUACCCAAAGAAUAAGCACCGGCUAACUUCGUG
RNAcentral lists this ribosomal RNA (492 nucleotides) under uncultured bacterium. Its description in RNAcentral is "partial 16S ribosomal RNA". It matches the Rfam family "Bacterial small subunit ribosomal RNA", at positions 29 to 507 of the family's 1533-position model. The record is from RNAcentral.